GAUGAAGAACGCAGCGAAAUGCGAUACUUGGUGUGAUUUGCAGAAUCCCGUGAACCAUCGAGUCUUUGAACGCAAGUUGCGCCUCAAGCCAUUAGGUUGAGGGCACGUCUGCCUGGGCGUCACAUAUCGUUGCCUGAUGCCAGUUUCCUCGUGAUGGGUGACUGUGCAGGGCGAAUGAUGGCUUCCCGUGAGCAUUGUUGCCUCAUGGUUGGUUGAAAAUUGAGUCCUUGGUAGGGAGCGCCGUGAUAGAUGGUGGUUGAGUGACGAACGAGACCCAAUCAUGUGAGACCCCUACCGAAUUAGGCCUUCAUGACCCACAUGCGUCUUUGGAACGCUCAUGACGAGACCUCAGGUCAGGCGGGGCUACCCGCUGAGUUUAAGCAUAUCAAUAAGCGGAGGA
This 400-nucleotide unclassified non-coding RNA is filed under the name soil metagenome. RNAcentral describes it as "partial contains 5.8S ribosomal RNA, internal transcribed spacer 2, and large subunit ribosomal RNA". The stretch from base 1 to 122 matches the Rfam family "5.8S ribosomal RNA", at positions 35 to 154 of the family's 154-position model. The record is from RNAcentral.